GAUGAACGCUAGCUACAGGCUUAACACAUGCAAGUCGAGGGGCAGCAUGGUCUUAGCUUGCUAAGGCCGAUGGCGACCGGCGCACGGGUGAGUAACACGUAUCCAACCUGCCGUCUACUCUUGGACAGCCUUCUGAAAGGAAGAUUAAUACAAGAUGGCAUCAUGAGUCCGCAUGUUCACAUGAUUAAAGGUAUUCUGGUAGACGAUGGGGAUGCGUUCCAUUAGAUAGUAGGCGGGGUAACGGCCCACCUAGUCUUCGAUGGAUAGGGGUUCUGAGAGGAAGGUCCCCCACAUUGGAACUGAGACACGGUCCAAACUCCUACGGGAGGCAGCAGUGAGGAAUAUUGGUCAAUGGGCGCAGGCCUGAACCAGCCAAGUAGCGUGAAGGAUGACUGCCCUAUGGGUUGUAAACUUCUUUUAUAAAGGAAUAAAGUCGGGUAUGCAUACCCGUUUGCAUGUACUUUAUGAAUAAGGAUCGGCUAACUCCGUGCCAGCAGCCGCGGUAAUACGGAGGAUCCGAGCGUUAUCCGGAUUUAUUGGGUUUAAAGGGAGCGUAGAUGGAUGUUUAAGUCAGUUGUGAAAGUUUGCGGCUCAACCGUAAAAUUGCAGUUGAUACUGGAUAUCUUGAGUGCAGUUGAGGCAGGCGGAAUUCGUGGUGUAGCGGUGAAAUGCUUAGAUAUCACGAAGAACUCCGAUUGCGAAGGCAGCCUGCUAAGCUGCAACUGACAUUGAGGCUCGAAAGUGUGGGUAUCAAACAGG
Molecule: ribosomal RNA, 759 nt
Filed under: uncultured Bacteroides sp.
Lineage: Bacteria; Pseudomonadati; Bacteroidota; Bacteroidia; Bacteroidales; Bacteroidaceae
Description: bacterial SSU rRNA
Rfam family: Bacterial small subunit ribosomal RNA
Source: RNAcentral